GACGAACGCUGGCGGCGUGCUUAACACAUGCAAGUCGAACGGAAAGGCCCUGCUUUUGUGGGGUGCUCGAGUGGCGAACGGGUGAGUAACACGUGAGUAACCUGCCCUUGACUUUGGGAUAACUUCAGGAAACUGGGGCUAAUACCGGAUAGGAGCUCCUGCUGCAUGGUGGGGGUUGGAAAGUUUCGGCGGUUGGGGAUGGACUCGCGGCUUAUCGGCUUGUUGGUGGGGUAGUGGCUUACCAAGGCUUUGACGGGUAGCCGGCCUGAGAGGGUGACCGGCCACCUUGGGACUGAGAUACGGCCCAGAAGCCUACGGGAGGCAACAGGGGGGAAUAUUGCGCAAUGGGCGGAAGCGUGAUGCAGCAACGCCGCGUGCGGGAUGACGGCCUUCGGGUUGUAAACCGCUUUCGCCUGUGACGAAGCGUGAGUGACGGUAAUGGGUAAAGAAGCACCGGCUAACUACGUG
This 468-nucleotide ribosomal RNA is filed under the name uncultured bacterium. RNAcentral describes it as "partial 16S ribosomal RNA". It matches the Rfam family "Bacterial small subunit ribosomal RNA", at positions 28 to 507 of the family's 1533-position model. The record is from RNAcentral.